RNAcentral lists this ribosomal RNA (379 nucleotides) under uncultured bacterium. RNAcentral describes it as "bacterial SSU rRNA". It matches the Rfam family "Bacterial small subunit ribosomal RNA", at positions 790 to 1167 of the family's 1533-position model. The record is from RNAcentral.
GUAGUCCACGCUGUAAACGAUGGGUGCUAGCUGUAGGAGGGUUACCCUUCUGUGGCGCAGCUAACGCGUUAAGCACCCCGCCUGGGGAGUACGGUCGCAAGAUUAAAACUCAAAGAAAUUGACGGGGACCCGCACAAGCGGUGGAACAUGUGGUUUAAUUCGAGGCAACGCGAAGAACCUUACCAGGGUUUGACAUGCUCUUUAUAGGAUCCCCAAAAGGAUCCGUCAGUUCGGCUGGAAGAUGCACAGGUGCUGCAUGGCUGUCGUCAGCUCGUGUCGUGAGAUGUUGGGUUAAGUCCCGCAACGAGCGCAACCCUCAUUCUCUGUUGCUAACGCGUUAUGGCGAGAACUCUGAGAAAACUGCCGGUGAUAAGCCGGA